This 28-nucleotide ribosomal RNA is filed under the name Capsicum annuum. RNAcentral's name for it is "partial 18S ribosomal RNA". Lineage: Eukaryota; Viridiplantae; Streptophyta; Magnoliopsida; Solanales; Solanaceae. The record is from RNAcentral.
UUUUUGAAAAGAAAAAUGAACAAGGUUU